AUGGAUGGUAGUAGCUCCAACAAGAGACGAGUAGAAGCUCAGCGGGAGCGAGAUAGCAAUCCUAAGAGGCACAAUGUCACCAUGAGAUUGGAGACCCUCGACUGCUCUGUCUGCUCUGAGCCCCUCAGACCUCCGAUAUUCCAGUGUUCUUUGGGACAUUUCAUAUGCUUGUCUUGCCGUAGUGAGAUCCUGGACAAGAAGUGCCAUUUGUGCUCUGCUGUAACUUCCUUUGAGCGCUGCUUUGGGAUCGAACAUGUUGUCAAGUCAGUCACUGUUGAUUGCUCCAAUGCCAAGUAUGGAUGCGCUGAGCAGAUCAGCUACUAUCAGAAGGAAGAACACGAAAAGGUGUGCCCAAACGCCCCAUGCUUCUGCCCAGAGUCUGGCUGCGGCUUCGCUGGAUCAGCAAUGGCUCCUGGGCCAUAUGACCGGCAAGCACAAGUGUCCGUUAUCAACAUGUGA
RNAcentral lists this ribosomal RNA (459 nucleotides) under Triticum aestivum (bread wheat). Its description in RNAcentral is "partial small subunit ribosomal RNA". The record is from RNAcentral. Lineage: Eukaryota; Viridiplantae; Streptophyta; Magnoliopsida; Poales; Poaceae.